RNAcentral lists this unclassified non-coding RNA (217 nucleotides) under plant metagenome. RNAcentral describes it as "partial contains small subunit ribosomal RNA, internal transcribed spacer 1, and 5.8S ribosomal RNA". The record is from RNAcentral.
UCUCCGUAGGUGAACCUGCGGAGGGAUCAUUACAAGUGACCCCGGUCUUACCACCGGGAUGUUCAUAACCCUUUGUUGUCCGACUCUGUUGCCUCCGGGGCGACACCGCCUUCGGGCGGGGGCUCCGGGUGGACACUUCAAACUCUUGCGUAACUUUGCAGUCUGAGUAAACUUAAUUAAUAAAUUAAAACUUUUAACAACGGAUCUCUUGGUUCUG